Molecule: non-coding RNA, 242 nt
Organism: Manis javanica (Malayan pangolin)
Lineage: Eukaryota; Metazoa; Chordata; Mammalia; Pholidota; Manidae
Source: RefSeq, a predicted model, not a curated record
CUUCUGGUCAAGCAGGGGAGAAGGGGAAACUUGGUGUCCCAGGAUUGCCAGGAUAUCCAGGAAGACAAGGUCAAAAGUUCUGGAAGCCAGAAGUCUAAAAUCAAGUGUCAGCAGGGCUACCGUCCUUCCAAAGGCGGUAGAGGAAGUCUGUCCCUGCCUCUUCCAGCUGCUGGUAGCCCCAGGCGCUCCUCGGCUUGCGUAGGCAUAACUGCAGACUCUGCCCCUUCUUCGCAUGGCCUGUC